This is a long non-coding RNA of Oncorhynchus tshawytscha (Chinook salmon), 635 nucleotides long. The record is from Ensembl. Lineage: Eukaryota; Metazoa; Chordata; Actinopteri; Salmoniformes; Salmonidae.
CACAGAUGAGAAGCUGUUUUUUCCGGUAUGGUCUUGGCGGCAUUACAGCCAGGGAGAUGUAGCUACCGGUUAGGCGCUGUUCAGGGCUUAAAUGCCAGACGAUCCAUCAGCUCUGAGUAGAUGUGUUUUGUAAAUACUGUAAUGUGUGGACCAGUGGCGCAACAAUAUUUUUGUUUUUUGCGCUUGACUGAAUCUGGGGGACGACGUGCUCGGGAAUGCGUGCGGAUCGCGAGAUUGAGAACAAACAGCCCCGGUGAAUGGAAGCUUUGUGCUGCCCACCGCAAGCCCGAGAACAAAAGACUAUGGCCACUGAGUUCGGACACAGAAGCACGGUCAUGCAGAAAUCAUGAGACCGACACAGUGGGUGGUAAAACAACAGAAACUGUGAAAUGAGAACAGGAACCAGUCACCAAGUGCAGCAGACGGAUUCUCAGAAGUGUGAUCAUACAGUGAGAGCCGACCACUGACUUCCAUUUGCAUCCUCCAUCCUGCACGAAACCCUAGAGGUCAUGCCUAUUAAACCCUGCCCGUUCUCAUAGAGGUCAUGCCUAUUAAACCCUGCCCGUUCUCAUAGAGGUCAUGCCUAUUAAACCCUGCCUGUUCUCAUAGGGGUCAUGCCUAUUAAACCCUGCCUG